Molecule: unclassified non-coding RNA, 305 nt
Filed under: plant metagenome
Description: partial contains 5.8S ribosomal RNA, internal transcribed spacer 2, and large subunit ribosomal RNA
Rfam family: 5.8S ribosomal RNA (bases 1-105)
Source: RNAcentral
GAAAUGCGAUAAGUAGUGUGAAUUGCAGAAUUCAGUGAAUCAUCGAAUCUUUGAACGCACAUUGCACCCUUUGGUAUUCCAAAGGGCAUGCCUGUUCGAGCGUCAUUUGUACCCUCAAGCUUUGCUUGGUGUUGGGCGUCUUGUCUCCAGUUCGUUGGAGACUCGCCUUAAAGUAAUUGGCAGCCGGCCUACUGGUUUCGGAGCGCAGCACAAGUCGCGCUCUCUUCCAGCCAAGGUCAGCAUCCACAAAGCCUUUUUUCAACUUUUGACCUCGGAUCAGGUAGGGAUACCCGCUGAACUUAAGC